RNAcentral lists this ribosomal RNA (451 nucleotides) under uncultured bacterium. RNAcentral describes it as "bacterial SSU rRNA". It matches the Rfam family "Bacterial small subunit ribosomal RNA", at positions 96 to 562 of the family's 1533-position model. The record is from RNAcentral.
CGGCGGACGGGUGAGUAACGCGUGGGUAACCUGCCCUAUACAGAGGAAUAACAUUAAGAAAUUGAUGCUAAUACCUCAUAAGCUUACGCUACGGCAUCGUAGAGUAAGAAAAGAUUUAUCGGUAUAGGAGGGACCCGCGUCUGAUUAGUUAGUUGGUGAGGUAACGGCUCACCAAGGCGACGAUCAGUAGCCGACCUGAGAGGGUGAUCGGCCACAUUGGAACUGAGACACGGUCCAAACUCCUACGGGAGGCAGCAGUGGGGAAUAUUGCACAAUGGGGGGAACCCUGAUGCAGCAACGCCGCGUGAAGGAAGAAGUAUUUCGGUAUGUAAACUUCUAUCAACGGGGAAGAAAAAAAUGACGGUACCCGAAUAAGAAGCACCGGCUAAAUACGUGCCAGCAGCCGCGGUAAUACGUAUGGUGCAAGCGUUAUCCGGAUUUACUGGGUGUA